GGUGCGUGGUGAAGCACUGGAGUCCCCUGCUGGCCACCUCCAAGGCCCAGCAGCUGCUGUUCAACGUUGUCAACGGGCAAGCACCUCCCUAACUCUCUGUCUGGGCUGGACAAGGCCUUGAGGGACUCCUCUACCUGCAGGUGGGACGCAUGAACAGACACACGCACACACACACUCCCUAUACCUAAACAUUAUGUUACUUACUACCCCAGUUUGGAUACUUUCAGGGGGGAAAAGUAUUGUUUGGAUACUUCAGAAAGUACUAGCAGGGUUAGAGGGGAGGACAGAAAAAUCCAGAAGUAUUUCCCAUGAGCAUUAAUAAUACUAUACUGACCUCUCUCACUGUGCCUCUGUCUCUCCUUUCUUCCCCUCCAGGCUCUGUGUAUAGCAGCCAGUAUGUCUGUCUCAGGGAGCCUACCUAAAGAAGCAGCUCCGUGAUGUCAUCUCCAAGUACCUUGACCAUUUCCUGCCUGCCACUCCAUCGGUUGGGGCCAUAGCCAAUCACCCGGUGCUGCUGGCGGCCUGCGAGGCCACGCCCGCCCCACGUGGGGCAGCACUGAGGAGGAGCGUCCUGCAGGUGAUCAGGUAGGAUUCUGACGCUCUGGGUAGAGAUUGCUCUUAGGCACAGAUCCAGGAUGAGUAAACCCUGCCCAAAUCCUCACCUUAAUAAUUAGGUAAGGGAAUGCGAAGCCAAACUGACCUUGGAGCAGUGUCUCAGGACAACUUCAUCCUAAUCCACCUUGACAGCCUCCUAAGAGCAUCUAUUAAAUGGCCAGACAUUACUGGCUCUGUGUCAUACCUCAUCUGUAUCUGUCUCCAUAGUGAGAACUUCCUGCAUUUCAAAGGCAACGCCCCUCCUCCCCGCCUGGUCACGGUCCUGGCCUUCCUAUUGGAGCUGCUGAGACAGAACAAUGACUGUGACCCCGCCCUGCUCACCAUGCCCCUUCCCCUCUCUGCUCCGCUGCCUGAAGCUGGUCAACGAGCUUCACGUGAGGAGGACCAGUACAGAGGCCCUGCAGCUGGUGGUGGAGAGACGUUCAGCCGCCGCCGGGGAUGCGCCAUGAAUUUGCUGACCCUGCUGGGGGACUGUGAUCAGGCGGAGAUCAUCAGCCUGGAGGAGGACUGACCCUUGACCCCAGGACCAGGUUACCAUGCUGUUGACCUCAACACCACUGGGCUUGAAAUUCAUGUACAUAAUGUAUAGAAAUGGUCCUGUUGGAGUUACAGAUCAUAAUUUAUGAUCAAGUUUCCAUCUUCACAUGUACAUAAUGUAUAGAAAUGGUCCUGUUGGAGUUACAGAUCAUAAUUUAUGAUCAAGUUUCCAUCUUCACAUGUACAUAAUGUAUAGAAAUGGUCCUGUUGGAGUUACAGAUCAUAAUUUAUGAUCAAGUUUCCAUCUUCACAUGUACAUAAUGUAUAGAAAUGGUCCUGUUGGAGUUACAGAUCAUAAUUUAUGAUCAAGUUUCCAUCUUCACAUGUACAUAAUGUAUAGAAAUGGUCCUGUUGGAGUUACAGAUCAUAAUUUAUGAUCAAGUUUCCAUCUUCACAUGUACAUAAUGUAUAGAAAUGGUCCUGUUGGAGUUACAGAUCAUAAUUUAUGAUCAAGUUUCCAUCUUCACAUUGAAAUAUUUUUCAAAAAGGUGUUACGAAAAAAAGUGACUAAUAUGAUGAAAAAAAGAGAAUGUGGAAGUGCAUGUGUUGUAUUUCAGUUUCCUAAUUGUACAGGCAUGGAACGAGGGAAGAGUGUGUGACGCAUAUAGAUAAAUGUAUAAUAUUUUGUUUUUCUAACUGUUUCUCUGGUGUGAUAUUAACUACUGAUAGUAGACAAAUAGGAUCUCUGUGUGCUAAUGCACUCUUUUGUUGGCCCAACUUUACAGGCAGAACCGCCUCCUUUCCUGAGACUGUCCCUCAUCAGAUACAACCAAAGAGUCCGAAAGAUUACUUUUGCUCUUUCCAUUCCCUUUUUCCUUUGAAAUCUUCAUGCAAAUCAGGCUUCAUUUCAAUAGUCAUAAUUUCACGUCUGAGGAACUUGAGGUGUCAUUAAAAAAAGGCACACAAAAAAUACUUUCACAUGACCCUCCCCUUUGUAC
This is a long non-coding RNA of Oncorhynchus mykiss (rainbow trout), 2090 nucleotides long. Lineage: Eukaryota; Metazoa; Chordata; Actinopteri; Salmoniformes; Salmonidae. The record is from Ensembl.